GAAACAUAAAGGUUGCAAUAUCUUGAAACCUUAGUAGAACUAAUCUGCUCAUAUUUCUGGACUCUUGAUAUUUAAUGUUUUCCUUUUCUGUGCUUCCUCCUUUAGUCAUUGGUGACAAAAUUUCUAGUGCUACACUGUACAGGUCAAGCAGAUGCAGUCAUCAAUUUGAUGCAAAGUUCAUAAAAGUUCAGGUGAAUACUUCAGCAGCAGAUCACCAACACGCAGCAACAACUCGCCUCCACCACCAGCAGCAGCAGAUCAAUAGCACCAGCAGCAGAAGAUCACCAGCAGGUGGCAGCAGAUCACCAGCAGCAGCUCGCCUCCACCAGACACUAACAGCAGCAGAAUCUGUCAAGGCUUAGACAAUCUGUCACCAAGGUCAAGCCUCCACCAGCGUCACCAAGAUCACCAAGGUCAAGCAGCAGCUCGCCUCCACCAAACACUAGCAGCAAAAGAUCACCAGCAGCGGCUCGCCUCCACCAGUCUGGAAGCAGAGCACGCGCCUCCACCAGCGGGCACACGCGGACCAGGAGGAGGAGCGCCUGGGCGAGGAUGGAGGGCAAAGGUGGAGGGCGGGGGUGGAGGCGGAGGUGGAGGGCGGGGUGGAGGUGGAGGUGAAGGCCGGAGGUGGAUGGCGGGGUGGANGGGGGUGGAGUGCGGGGGUGGAGGGGGGAGGUGGAGGGCGGGGGUGGAGGGCGGGGGUGGAGGCCGGAGGUGGAGGGCGGGGGUGAAGGCGGAGGUCGAGGUCGGGGGUGCAGGCGGAGGUGGAAGACGCGCGGAAUAAGAUGCUCUUUCUGUUGGAAUUACUGUAGCGACGCUAAUUCAAAAUUUGUAUUAGAGGCAUAAAAGUCAAUUACCUCAUUUUCACCUGGUCGGAAUUAUACUCGCAGCGACCUAUAUUUUGGUACCGAGGGAGUAACUAGUAGAACAUAUUCCUCAAGGGGCACACUUUGUAUGCUAUGCAACGGUGAGCCGAGAUGAGUGUUUGGUAAAAUUUAUAUGAUAUGGCUGGUUGUAUAUGCAGGUUCUUUAAAAUAUAGCUGAAAAUCGGGAAGGAACGUGGAUCAGGCGGCAACAUUGGGCGAUUGGACCCGGGGCUCAAUGACUACAGAUGUCCUGAUAGUGGAUCCUCACUUGCGACGGCGCGAGGCGGCAGGAUCUGGUGUGUAGCGCUCGGGCAAGGGCGAAUGAGGCCGGCGACGGCGCUUGACGGGUGCGCGGAGGUGGCAGGAUCUGGUGUGUAGCGCUCGGGCAAGGGCGAAUGAGGCCGGCGACGGCGCUUGANN
This 1286-nucleotide long non-coding RNA is filed under the name Hordeum vulgare. RNAcentral's name for it is "long non-coding RNA (HVUL_LNC015508)". Lineage: Eukaryota; Viridiplantae; Streptophyta; Magnoliopsida; Poales; Poaceae. The record is from RNAcentral.